RNAcentral lists this transfer RNA (74 nucleotides) under Aeriscardovia sp. Its description in RNAcentral is "tRNA-Arg". It matches the Rfam family "tRNA". From Rfam's summary of the family: Transfer RNA (tRNA) molecules are approximately 80 nucleotides in length. Their secondary structure includes four short double-helical elements and three loops (D, anti-codon, and T loops). Further hydrogen bonds mediate the characteristic L-shaped molecular structure. tRNAs have two regions of fundamental functional importance: the anti-codon, which is responsible for specific mRNA codon recognition, and the 3' end, to which the tRNAs corresponding amino acid is attached (by aminoacyl-tRNA synthetases). tRNAs cope with the degeneracy of the genetic code in two manners: having more than one tRNA (with a specific anti-codon) for a particular amino acid; and 'wobble' base-pairing, i.e. permitting non-standard base-pairing at the 3rd anti-codon position. Lineage: Bacteria; Bacillati; Actinomycetota; Actinomycetes; Bifidobacteriales; Bifidobacteriaceae. The record is from RNAcentral.
GCGCCAGUAGCCCAACGGAUUAGAGCAUUUGACUACGGAUCAAAAGGUUACAGGUUCGAAUCCUGCCUGGCGCA